This 200-nucleotide non-coding RNA is filed under the name Clostridium pasteurianum. RNAcentral's name for it is "T-box sequence". It matches the Rfam family "T-box leader". From Rfam's summary of the family: Uncharged tRNA acts as the effector for transcription antitermination of genes in the T-box leader family. T-boxes are found upstream of many aminoacyl-tRNA synthetase genes and some amino acid biosynthetic genes usually in Gram-positive bacteria. Lineage: Bacteria; Bacillati; Bacillota; Clostridia; Eubacteriales; Clostridiaceae. The record is from RNAcentral.
UGAAAAACCUUGAAAGGGAAAAGUAAGUAUAAGAGAUGUCCAAAAGAGAGCAGGGGCAGCUGAAAACCUGCGGAUAAUUGUAUACCGAAACUCACCCUGGAGUUGCAGACUGAAUUAAGUAGGUUGUGCCGGCAUGUAGCCGUUAUAUAAAUUAAGUAAUAAAUUGGGUGGUACCGCGAAACAGUCUCCUCGCCCCAGGA